RNAcentral lists this ribosomal RNA (475 nucleotides) under uncultured bacterium. Its description in RNAcentral is "bacterial SSU rRNA". It matches the Rfam family "Bacterial small subunit ribosomal RNA", at positions 923 to 1397 of the family's 1533-position model. The record is from RNAcentral.
GCACAAGCGGUGGAGCAUGUGGUUUAAUUCGAUGCAACGCGAAGAACCUUACCUACUCUUGACAUCCUGCGAACUUGUGAGAGAUCACUUGGUGCCUUCGGGAGCGCAGAGACAGGUGCUGCAUGGCUGUCGUCAGCUCGUGUUGUGAAAUGUCGGGUUAAGUCCCGUAACGAGCGCAACCCUUGUCCUUAUUUGCCAGCGGGUAAUGCCGGGAACUCUAAGGAGACUGCCGGUGACAAACCGGAGGAAGGUGGGGACGACGUCAAGUCAUCAUGGCCCUUACGAGUAGGGCUACACACGUGCUACAAUGGCCGGUACAAAGGGUUGCGAGCUCGCGAGAGUCAGCUAAUCCCGAAAAGCCGGUCUCAGUCCGGAUCGGAGUCUGCAACUCGACUCCGUGAAGUCGGAAUCGCUAGUAAUCGUGAAUCAGAAUGUCACGGUGAAUACGUUCCCGGGCCUUGUACACACCGCCCGU